UGCAUCAGGAGAACGUUCAUUUUCAAAAUUGAAACUAAUUAAAACUUAUUUGCGAUCCACUAUAUCCCAAGAACGUCUGGAUGGCUUGGCUCUACUGGCAAUUGAGGGAACUGUCCUGGACGAUUGCAACAUAAACAGUGUUCUGGAUGAUUUUGCGAAAAUUAAAGCUCGGAAAAUACGAUUUUGAAAAUACAUUGCAUUAUGGAACAGCACAGUGUGCAUAUCAAAUGGACUUCACAGUACUUUGGAAAGGCCAAGCUUCUCAACAUGAUUGAAUGCUGUCCUGCAGUCUAUCCUGAAAGGCUAGGCACAUACCCUGUAUUUCCGAAGAUUUCCGAAGAUUUUGAUGCAGUGUUCGAAAUUCCUCCACACAUCCAAUAGUCAUGCGGAGUAUCCUUCCAAAGUUGCGUGGAUGUGAAGAGACACGACAGUUCCCCUGAUGUACCAUGGGCGACCUACUUGUGAUGUGGACCUGAACCUCCGCCAUGUAGCAGACAACCCCCCUCAGGUCUUGCGGAGUAUCCUUCCCAAGUUGCUUGAAUCAUCAUAGAUGAAAAGGGACACGACAGUUCCCCUGCUGUACCAUGGGCGACCUAACACAAUACCACUGCAUCUCAUAUUUUACAUUUUAUUUACUAAUAAUUUAAAGAAAAA
Molecule: long non-coding RNA, 654 nt
Organism: Pseudophryne corroboree (corroboree frog)
Lineage: Eukaryota; Metazoa; Chordata; Amphibia; Anura; Myobatrachidae
Exons: 4
Source: RefSeq, a predicted model, not a curated record